This is a long non-coding RNA of Capsella rubella, 1193 nucleotides long. RefSeq lists it as uncharacterized. The record is from RefSeq and is a predicted model, not a curated record. The transcript is spliced from 2 exons. Lineage: Eukaryota; Viridiplantae; Streptophyta; Magnoliopsida; Brassicales; Brassicaceae.
AGGGAGUUUCGAUCUUGAUAGUUGAUACCGAUACCUUUAGCAAUAAAUCUGAGUGUAGUAUUUGUUGUUGUAUUGAUCUUUUUUUUUUUUUUUUUGAAAGAGAGCUAUAACUGUUACCUAGAACAGAAGGCAUACUACUCCAAAUUGGCUUAAGUAUGGAUAUAUAUUUAGCAAUCAUUAAGUAAUACAACUACAGUAUUAUAAUUAGAGAAAGUUACAUAGAGACACCGUUUAUGUAUCUUUCGUUUCAGUUUAACACCCUUUGGGUUUGUGGCACCGUUUUUUGCUCUCUUUUGUACUGUACAUAUUAAUUUCUGACAAAAACAACCUUAGUUAAGUUUUUGAAAGCUUAUCAGAAACAAUUAUAAAGCUUUAACUUUCAACCAUACGUUAGUAACUAAAUAUUUGAGAAUCUUGUGGCUAGGAAUAAUCCUAAGAUUAAUAUGAGAAAUGAACAAUUAGAGUCAUUUUCUUUUUCUCUCUCUCUCACUGUCUCGCUUUUUCUCUUUCACCCUCUACCUUUUUCUCUCCCUCUCUCUCUCUCUCAAACCAAAACUGAGAGGUAUGUGUUGUUUCUCUAGAUCUGAAGUUGUUUAUCUUUCAUCUUCUUCUUUCAUCUUCUUCUUUCAUUUUCUCCAUUUUUAUCUGGAGCAAAAAUAUCUACUCUGGCCACCAAAAAAAUAUAUAUAUCUCCUCUGUUUCUUAGCCGGUCGGCUUCACAUGCGACGGUCAUGAUUCCUGCAUCAUAAAAAUCAAAACAUUAGAGUUCAAUUUCAAUCAUUUUUGAGAGAGUCGAUACAAAUUAAAUCUUGUGUAAAAUCAAUUUCUCCAUACGUCGUUUUGUUCUCUUUGGGGGAAACGGAAUCUAAUACCUCAAAACAAGAUUGUGAUGUGAUUUGGUGGGUGCGAUGCGGUGGCAACAGUUCGAUGGUUACGAUGUGGUGGAUGUGAUGUAGCUGAUGUGAAAACUAAUGAUAAAGAUCAUGGAUGGCCAUCAGUUAGAAUGUUUGUGUUGUAGUUUUUUAAUGUAAGGCUUUCAUGUGUUCAUAUUCCCUUGAAUGGUUAAUGUUUUUUUCCUUAAAACAAUAUUUGUUCAAGUAUCUAUGGAUAUUGUAUAGUGAACUAAAGAUUGUUCAAGUAUCUAUGGAUAUGUUAAUCUUGACCAUGUGUUCGGGGAAAGAUUGUUUGGUAUA